UGGGGAAUUUUGCACAAUGGGGGAAACCCUGAUGCAGCGACGCCGCGUGAUUUAGAAGGCCUUCGGGUUGUAAAAAUCUUUUCUAUGGGAAGAAAAUGACAGUACCAUAGGAAUAAGGACCGGCCAAUUACGUGACAGCAGCCGCGGUAAUACGUAAGGUCCGAGCGUUGUCCGGAAUCAUUGGGCGUAAAGGGUACGUAGGCGGGUAAGCAAGUUAGAAGUGAAAUCCUGUAGCUCAACUACAGUAAGCUUUUAAAACUGCUCAUCUUGAGAUAUGGAAGGGAAAGUGGAAUUCCUAGUGUAGCGGUGAAAUGCGCAGAUAUUAGGAGGAAUACCGGUGGCGAAGGCGACUUUCUGGCCAUAAUCUGACGCUGAGGUACGAAAGCGUGGGUAGCAAACAGG
RNAcentral lists this ribosomal RNA (402 nucleotides) under Verrucomicrobiota bacterium. RNAcentral's name for it is "Verrucomicrobia bacterium partial 16S ribosomal RNA". It matches the Rfam family "Bacterial small subunit ribosomal RNA", at positions 355 to 776 of the family's 1533-position model. The record is from RNAcentral. Lineage: Bacteria; Pseudomonadati; Verrucomicrobiota.